Molecule: long non-coding RNA, 298 nt
Filed under: Elaeis guineensis (African oil palm)
Lineage: Eukaryota; Viridiplantae; Streptophyta; Magnoliopsida; Arecales; Arecaceae
Description: long non-coding RNA (EGUI_LNC053072)
Source: RNAcentral
CCUCCAUUGAUCAGCCACAAAGGGCCUCUACAAGGAGCUAGCACUCCAGGGAGGUCGAUUUGAUCAUGCUUCAUGUGGAUAUCCGUAGAGGCCGAAUACGUAUGCAAGUAGGAGUAACAUACAAGCCUUCGGUAUUCAACUGCAGAGAUCUUCGACCCAUGUAUAGAUAUAGAAAUCAGAUUUCUAUCAUAUAUUAGAUUAGAUCUAAUAUUUUAUAUAUUAUUUUCAGAUUAUGCAUGCAUGUUUUAUGUCAUAAGAUCCAUAAUAAGGCAGUUACAGAUUAGAUCUAAUGCAUGGC